CCUACGGGGGGCAGCAGUGGGGAAUAUUGCACAAUGGGCGAAAGCCUGAUGCAGCAACGCCGCGUGAAGGAAGAAGGGUUUCGGCUCGUAAACUUCUAUCAACAGGGACGAAAGAAAUAACGGUACCUGAAUAAGAAGCCCCGGCUAACUACGUGCCAGCAGCCGCGGUAAUACGUAGGGGGCAAGCGUUAUCCGGAUUUACUGGGUGUAAAGGGGGCGCAGACGGCAAUGCAAGCCAGGAGUGAAAGCCCGGGGCCCAACCCCGGGACUGCUCUUGGAACUGCAUGGCUGGAGUACAGGAGGGG
RNAcentral lists this ribosomal RNA (305 nucleotides) under uncultured bacterium. RNAcentral describes it as "bacterial SSU rRNA". It matches the Rfam family "Bacterial small subunit ribosomal RNA", at positions 338 to 657 of the family's 1533-position model. The record is from RNAcentral.